AUUGAACGCUGGCGGCAUGCCUUACACAUGCAAGUCGAACGGCAGCACGGGGGCAACCCUGGUGGCGAGUGGCGAACGGGUGAGUAACAUAUCGGAACAUACCCUAGAGUGGGGGAUAACGUAGCGAAAGUUACGCUAAUACCGCAUACGAUCUAAGGAUGAAAGUGGGGGAUCUUCGGACCUCAUGCUCAUGGAGUGGCCGAUAUCUGAUUAGCUAGUUGGUGAGGUAAAGGCUCACCAAGGCGACGAUCAGUAGCUGGUUUGAGAGAACGACCAGCCACACUGGAACUGAGGCACGGUCCAGACUCCUACGGGAGGCAGCAGUGGGGAAUUUUGGGACAAUGGGGGGCAACCCUGAUCCAGCAAUGCCGCGUGAGUGAAGAAGGCCU
Molecule: ribosomal RNA, 389 nt
Filed under: uncultured bacterium
Lineage: Bacteria
Description: bacterial SSU rRNA
Rfam family: Bacterial small subunit ribosomal RNA
Source: RNAcentral